UUCCUAGUCUAUUGAAUGCAGUGCUGCAGUAUCACUGUGUUACCUCGACUAGCAUCAACUUAACAGCUUCAUGUGAGCUUUGACAGCCAAUGAUCUAAAAACAGCAUGCUGGAUCUUAAGAAGCCAAAGCCCUUAUGAUCCCUUGAAGGCAAAGGCUUUGUUCAGUGAGGAGAGGCUUCUCUCUUGGCCUCACAAAACAUUUGCAAAGCUCCUGUCCUCCCACUUUCCACACAUCUGACUCAACAAAUGGACUAAAACAUAAUGAAAGCAAAAGCAUCUUCCUGCCCAUCAGUGUUGUUAAAAGAUCAAGACACUCCAAUACAUGCAGAAUUGUUGAUGAGUAAACACGUGGUAUAAUACUGGAAGUAGGCUGUACCAUCUGUGUCCAUUCAGUGUCACCCUGCAUAGUUUGUGAUCCAACUGCACAGAAGCCACUGAUGAGUCAGAAUCACAGCAAGGAAAUGAAGCCUACUGACAACCUAUUUUUUUUUUUUUUUUUUUUGAGGAUUGUAUUUUAAAAUCAUUAUUCUGUUUUACUAAGAGAUACAUAAUCAAGUUUGACUAAGGGAUAUGUAAUGAAUCAAUACAUUCAGUUCUUUUUUUAUUUGUUUGUACUAUCCUCUGUAUAUACUUUUUAUCUUCUGUUAUGUACUAUGAGUAGAUAAUGCCAACUAAAGAAAUCUGCAUAUAUGUAUGUAUUGUUACACCAGUUUAGGUUAAAUUUACAGAAGAAAUUCCAGUUAGACAGUAAGAGAUGAAACAGAACCACCUUGAAGGGGCAGCUUAAAGCCUCCCCCGACAAAACCAGAUUGGGGCCACAACAACUGCACACCACAGCCUCAUUCCACCUUUUUUCCAACCAUAAAAGAAAUGGUAAGCAGCUGCUCCUUUUUGCACCUGCCACAGCCAGAAGCCAACUUUAAGGUGCUCCAGUGACAUGUGACUUCUAAAUGCUGCUCCGCUGGAGUGCUUGGAAGCUGGCCCACAUGUGGGCAGCCAGGCAGCAUGAGGUGUCUUGGGGGUAUGCAUCAUCUGUACACCAAGCCUCCAAACUGGCUGGAAGCCACCUUUUUAUGGUAGUCUGUUUUGUUCCUAAGUCAAGAUGAUAUUAGUUUAGUAUGUGUUUCACUUUUGCAAUAAAUAACUCUAUUUCUUACGUUUACCAUACCUUAUAUGUUCUUGGUUCUCUCUCUCUUUAAAU
Sceloporus undulatus (fence lizard) is the source of this 1201-nucleotide long non-coding RNA. RefSeq lists it as uncharacterized. The record is from RefSeq and is a predicted model, not a curated record. NCBI's taxonomy places the organism in Eukaryota, Metazoa, Chordata, Lepidosauria, Squamata, Phrynosomatidae. The transcript is spliced from 3 exons.